AAGAAAGUAACAGAAGGGUUAUGUGGCUGGCUUGAAACCAGUUUAUGGGGGUUCGAGUCCUCCCUUUCUCG
This 71-nucleotide transfer RNA is filed under the name Periophthalmus novemradiatus (dwarf Indian mudskipper). RNAcentral describes it as "tRNA-Ser". It matches the Rfam family "tRNA". From Rfam's summary of the family: Transfer RNA (tRNA) molecules are approximately 80 nucleotides in length. Their secondary structure includes four short double-helical elements and three loops (D, anti-codon, and T loops). Further hydrogen bonds mediate the characteristic L-shaped molecular structure. tRNAs have two regions of fundamental functional importance: the anti-codon, which is responsible for specific mRNA codon recognition, and the 3' end, to which the tRNAs corresponding amino acid is attached (by aminoacyl-tRNA synthetases). tRNAs cope with the degeneracy of the genetic code in two manners: having more than one tRNA (with a specific anti-codon) for a particular amino acid; and 'wobble' base-pairing, i.e. permitting non-standard base-pairing at the 3rd anti-codon position. The record is from RNAcentral. Lineage: Eukaryota; Metazoa; Chordata; Actinopteri; Gobiiformes; Gobiidae.